This 497-nucleotide ribosomal RNA is filed under the name fungal sp. 261c3a. RNAcentral's name for it is "eukaryotic LSU rRNA". The stretch from base 191 to 344 matches the Rfam family "5.8S ribosomal RNA". Lineage: Eukaryota; Fungi. The record is from RNAcentral.
GAAGUAAAAGUCGUAACAAGGUUUCCGUAGGUGAACCUGCGGAAGGAUCAUUACCGAGUUUUCGAGCUCCGGCUCGACUCUCCCACCCUUUGUGAACGUACCUCUGUUGCUUUGGCGGCUCCGGCCGCCAAAGGACCUUCAAACUCCAGUCAGUAAACGCAGACGUCUGAUAAACAAGUUAAUAAACUAAAACUUUCAACAACGGAUCUCUUGGUUCUGGCAUCGAUGAAGAACGCAGCGAAAUGCGAUAAGUAAUGUGAAUUGCAGAAUUCAGUGAAUCAUCGAAUCUUUGAACGCACAUUGCGCCCCUUGGUAUUCCGGGGGGCAUGCCUGUUCGAGCGUCAUUACAACCCUCAAGCUCUGCUUGGAAUUGGGCACCGUCCUCACUGCGGACGCGCCUCAAAGACCUCGGCGGUGGCUGUUCAGCCCUCAAGCGUAGUAGAAUACACCUCGCUUUGGAGCGGUUGGCGUCGCCCGCCGGACGAACCUUCUGAACU